CUGACAGUGAAUUACCCUGGGUGCAAAUUAAAUACAAUAGAAUUGCUAAUCAGGCUAUUAGAAUACGCUGACAGGAGGAAAUCUACAAGUUGUAGAUUUCAGCCCACCCAGACCUGGGUGGGCUCUCCCUUUGCCUUUGGGGCAGAAUUCACUUGACUUCAAAUGGACCAGUACCAGACCCGUUGGAAUGCUGGAAAUGGACACCUGCAGUCUGCCGGAGGGACUGAGCAAGGCCUGAGAUCCUACCCUGGUUCAGCUGGUUCUUCCGCUGGCAGAAUCUGGCCCCCAGAGUACUUGUGUCCCCAGGGAUUGCUGUCUAACGUUCCAUACACUCUUCUCAGGCAAGAAGUGUUGCGAUUCUGUUCUCAACCUCCAGGCCCACAAGGAAGGCACCAAGUAUCUGGCAUAAUGAACAAUGUUUUAGGAUUUCUAAAUUUUAGAGGGAAGCAAGCUCUCCACCCAGUGUGGUGCUCGAACUCAUAACCCUGAG
Molecule: long non-coding RNA, 490 nt
Filed under: Mustela putorius furo (domestic ferret)
Lineage: Eukaryota; Metazoa; Chordata; Mammalia; Carnivora; Mustelidae
Description: lncRNA (ENSMPUG00000027677.1)
Source: RNAcentral